GAUGAACGCUGGCGGCGUGCCUAAUACAUGCAAGUCGAGCGAACGGACGAGAAGCUUGCUUCUCUGAUGUUAGCGGCGGACGGGUGAGUAACACGUGGAUAACCUACCUAUAAGACUGGGAUAACUUCGGGAAACCGUAGCUAAUACCGGAUAAUAUUUUGUACCGCAUGGUUCAAAAGUGAAAGACGGUCUUGCUGUCACUUAUAGAUGGAUCCGCGCUGCAUUAGCUAGUUGGUAAGGUAACGGCUUACCAAGGCAACGAUGCAUAGCCGACCUGAGAGGGUGAUCGGCCACACUGGAACUGAGACACGGUCCAGACUCCUACGGGAGGCAGCAGUAGGGAAUCUUCCGCAAUGGGCGAAAGCCUGACGGAGCAACGCCGCGUGAGUGAUGAAGGUCUUCGGAUCGUAAAGCUCUGUUAUUAGGGAAGAACAUAUGUGUAAGUAACUGUGCACAUCUUGACGGUACCUAAUCAGAAAGCCACGGCUAACUACGUG
Molecule: ribosomal RNA, 497 nt
Filed under: uncultured bacterium
Lineage: Bacteria
Description: partial 16S ribosomal RNA
Rfam family: Bacterial small subunit ribosomal RNA
Source: RNAcentral